UAAGGAAUAUUGGACAAUGGGCGCAAGCCUGAUCCAGCCAUGCCGCGUGAAGGAUUAAGGUCCUCUGGAUUGUAAACUUCUUUUAUAUGGGACGAAAAAAGGGAAUUCUUUCUCACUUGACGGUACCAUAUGAAUAAGCACCGGCUAACUCCGUGCCAGCAGCCGCGGUAAUACGGAGGGUGCAAGCGUUAUCCGGAUUCACUGGGUUUAAAGGGUGCGUAGGCGGGUAGGUAAGUCAGUGGUGAAAUCUCGGAGCUUAACUCCGAAACUGCCAUUGAUACUAUCUAUCUUGAAUAUUGUGGAGGUUUGCGGAAUAUGUCAUGUAGCGGUGAAAUGCUUAGAUAUGACAUAGAACACCUAUUGCGAAGGCAGCAGGCUACACAUAUAUUGACGCUGAGGCACGAAAGCGUGGGGAUCAAACAGG
Molecule: ribosomal RNA, 424 nt
Filed under: uncultured Chitinophagaceae bacterium
Lineage: Bacteria; Pseudomonadati; Bacteroidota; Chitinophagia; Chitinophagales; Chitinophagaceae
Description: bacterial SSU rRNA
Rfam family: Bacterial small subunit ribosomal RNA
Source: RNAcentral